Molecule: ribosomal RNA, 286 nt
Filed under: Pycnococcus provasolii
Lineage: Eukaryota; Viridiplantae; Chlorophyta; Pseudoscourfieldiophyceae; Pseudoscourfieldiales; Pycnococcaceae
Description: partial Bacterial large subunit ribosomal RNA
Rfam family: Bacterial large subunit ribosomal RNA
Source: RNAcentral
ACUGGGGCGGUUGCCUCCUAAAAGGUAACGGAGGCGUGCAAAGGUUCCCUCAGGCUGGACGGAAAUCAGUCGUAGAGUAUAAAGGCAGAAGGGAGCUUGACUGCGAGACUGACACGUCAAGCAGGGGCGAAAGCCGGCCUUAGUGAUCCGACGGUUCCGUGUGGAAGGGCCGUCGCUCAACGGAUAAAAGUUACUCUAGGGAUAACAGGCUGAUCUCCCCCAAGAGUCCACAUCGACGGGGAGGUUUGGCACCUCGAUGUCGGCUCAUCGCAUCCCGGGGCUGGAG